UACGGAGGGGGCUAGCGUUGUUCGGAAUUACUGGGCGUAAAGCGCACGUAGGCGGCUUUGUAAGUUAGAGGUGAAAAGCCCCGGGGCUCAACUCCGGAAUUGCCUUUAAGACUGCAUCGCUAGAAUUGUGGAGAGGUAAGUGGAAUUCCGAGUGUAGAGGUGAAAUUCGUAGAUAUUCGGAAGAACACCAGUGGCGAAGGCGACUUACUGGACACAUAUUGACGCUGAGGUGCGAAAGCGUGGGGGAGCAAACAGG
This 256-nucleotide ribosomal RNA is filed under the name uncultured bacterium. RNAcentral's name for it is "partial 16S ribosomal RNA". It matches the Rfam family "Bacterial small subunit ribosomal RNA", at positions 524 to 776 of the family's 1533-position model. The record is from RNAcentral.